Pseudoliparis swirei is the source of this 1656-nucleotide long non-coding RNA. RefSeq lists it as uncharacterized. The record is from RefSeq and is a predicted model, not a curated record. Lineage: Eukaryota; Metazoa; Chordata; Actinopteri; Perciformes; Liparidae. The transcript is spliced from 2 exons.
UAUAAAUGUGUGUUAUGUUUUUGCUUACCGUAUCUUAAACUCAACAAUCAGAGGAGCUUCCCGAACUCCGCGUUCCCACCCGAAGGUUGUGUUAUGUGUUCGGGGAGUCUGAUACCAGACGGAAGGAAUAUGUCAACUUGUCCUUAGUUCCACUUCUCCUUUGUUGUUGUGUGUGUGUGUGUGUUCAACUUUCAAUAAAAGGCUGGACCAAAGGGGUGCUCGAUGGAAUGUCUUGGAGGUCGUCGUGUUCAGAGCAUAGGCGACUGAGCUUCCCCUUUGGCCAAAGCUUUGGUCAAAGAUACUACGUUGUCUGUGAUUCAUUUCUCGCCUCCUUGACCGUGAUAGAGAGGAAAAAACCUAUCAUAACUUGGUGCCGUGACCCGGAUCCCAACAUACCCAUCGUCUGGAUUUUUCUUUUUUCCCUGCGGAGCCACUGACACCUGUGCAGGGCCUCUGCAGAGAGGAAAUCCAGUCGUGGAUUGACGGGAUCCGGCGGAUCGGAAGACAGAGGGAGAAAUGACCCAGACAAAGUCAGCGACUGGGUCUGCAUCCGCGUCAUCAAGAAAAAGACGUGGAGCGACGCCGCUGGGAGGGACCAUUCCAAGUCCUUCUGACGACUGCAACCGCUGUAAAGAUAGCCGAGAGGACCACCUGGAUACAUCUUUCCCAUUGCAAACUGUUCCCUACAGAAAUCCCGGACCAGUGCCCUGAUCCCGAGACGACCACGAGCAGAGGGGAAGACUGACUUCAAAGGGGGCUGUCCGCGUAAAAGACAGCCAUCUCAACGUCAGUGAAGAAACCAACAAUCCCUGCUCUUAGGUGUCGCCUCGGGUGAUGGAGCGAGAGGUCCCGAGGAACUCAAACGAGAGGAGCAAUCAGUACUCUAGCAUCGGUGUCUGGGCUCACCUCACGGAUGGAGCCCAUUGAAACGACCGCGUACAUUCAUAUGUAUGAUGACAUGGGAAGACCUGUCAAUGCUCCCGUUUAAGAAAAUAUAACGUAAACUUUUGGUUUAAGCUUGUAUGACAUAAUUGUGUAAAACUCCUCACAAGGAACGGACAAUUAUUGAUGUGAAGCUGCUGACUAAAAAGUUUAAUUCCCAAAGAGAUUGGUGUGGUGUUACUAACAAAUUAUGUGUAAGAAAAAAAGAGAAUAAUCAUGAUUCUGCUUGGACUGCUUAACCCAAAUACGUAAAUCACAUGCUGCUUAGAAAUUAGACAAAUAAAAUGAGUGCCCUUAUUGACCAUGUUUAAAUAAUAAGCAAUAGCAUAAACAGGAGGGAACUGACAGAGAUAUAAAUGUGUGUUAUGUUUUUGCUUACCGUAUCUUAAACUCAACAAUCAGAGGAGCUUCCCGAACUCCGCGUUCCCACCCGAAGGUUGUGUUAUGUGUUCGGGGAGUCUGAUACCAGACGGAAAGAAUGUGUCAACUUGUCCGAAGGUUGUGUUAUGUGUUCGGGGAGUCUGAUACCAGACGGAAGGAAUAUGUCAACUUGUCCUUAGUUCCACUUCUCCUUUGUUGUUGUGUGUGUGUGUGUGUUCAACUUUCAAUAAAAGGCUGGACCAAAGGGGUGCUCGAUGGAAUGUCUUGGAGGUCGUCGUGUUCAGAGCAUAGGCGACUGAGCUUCCCCUUUGGCCAAAGCUUUGGUCAAAGAUA